CUUAGCUAUUCAUUAAAGCAAAACAAAACAAGGACAUUCUGCCAGUCAAUUGUCCGGUGCUGGCUGCCCCUUCACUUCACUGGGAAAAACAAAACAAAACAAACAGUAAAAACCUCAGCAUUUCUUCGAGGACAUUCUGAGCCUUAGAAUAUUGUAAAUUUACAUUUGCAAUUCAAAAGUUGUGCCAGAAGAUACCUUAUGCUAACUGUGCCUGGACCUCAGCCCAGUUUUAUCUUUUUUUAUGGUUUAUAUAUCAUCAUGAAGAAAUAUUACUUGGAGGAGUGUUUUCUAAAAGGAAAAGUGAAGAGUGUGUCAUUCGGCCCCCCACAGUCCCCACUACCAGCAAGAACAAGCUUUGGGCACAUGCCUGCUGCUAGUUUGCACCCUGCCUGCUUAUCCACUUAGGACAUUCAGGCAAGUAAGGGUUGUGGCCUGCGUGCAAUGCAGAAUCUCUGGCCUCUUCUUGCCAUGAUACAGACUAAAAGUUACCAUACCUGAAUGAUAUAGUGGCAUAUCAGCACUGAGAUUUACAGUUGAUCACAGUAAGUUGAUUGCAUUUCUCUUCAUGCUCACA
This 574-nucleotide long non-coding RNA is filed under the name Callithrix jacchus (white-tufted-ear marmoset). Its description in RNAcentral is "lncRNA (ENSCJAG00000065036.2)". Lineage: Eukaryota; Metazoa; Chordata; Mammalia; Primates; Cebidae. The record is from RNAcentral.